This 519-nucleotide small RNA is filed under the name Pongo abelii (Sumatran orangutan). RNAcentral's name for it is "sense intronic". The record is from RNAcentral. Lineage: Eukaryota; Metazoa; Chordata; Mammalia; Primates; Hominidae.
AGUCUCUCCAUAGAGAGAAUACGAUGACUGAAGAGGACUUUAUAUGCUGAGAUGAAAUUUAGUUUGUUCAAAUCCGUAAUGAAUUGCCAUCGGGAAGUAUUGGACUGCUUGCCACUACAAGUGUUCAAUCAGUCUGGACAAGAUUUUGAGAGGAAUUUUCUAGAGAGAUCUUAGUCAUCUAAUUUGCAGCUGGCCUACUUGACCUUUUUCUUCUUUACUCCUGAAUCUUGUUUAUAAAAAAUGCAAUGUAAUAAAAUAUAAUUUAUAUUGUAUGUAAUAUAAAAUUACUGAUACCUCUGUGAAUAUAUAUUAUAAACAAAUGAAUAUAUACAAUGUAUAUUAUAUUACAUUACGGGUCAUUUUCUUCCUAAACUAUAAUCAUUUUUACAGUUUUAAACCAAAAAGGUAGUGAAAAUAAGCGAGCCCAUUUCAAAUUUCUAGGAAGUAUCCCUAAAUUGUUUCCUCAGACUUUUGACUUAUUUCACAUAGAAUCCUAACAUACAUGGUUGUCUGUUUUUC